CUUAAACAAUUUUUUUUGUAUGCUACUUUUACUAAAGGUCAUCAUGCUUGGUUGUAUGAAGAACUGAUGAAUUUACUCAUUAAGGAACUAAAGUUUGUGGACAUUAAAGGAGUUGUCCCUGGUUAUCUAGUUAGAAGGUGGUGGAACAUGAUAAAGAAGUCAUCCCUCUCACUUUUAGAGUGUAGGUGCCCUGAAAGCAGGCCCUAAGACUACAUACUGCUCACUGUUGUAUCUCCAGCACCCAGCAUCUUGCAUGGCAUAUUAUAGGUAGUUGCUAUGUAUUUAAAGAAUGAAAGAACCUGAUACUGUAGCCAAUUACUUAUGGAUGCACCUCAAUUUGGAAAACCAUCAGUUUUAAUCUACAGGUACUAGAAUGCUUUCUUGAUCAUUUCCCAAUACUCUUAUUAUUUUCCUUUUCCAUUCCUACUGUGGUCUUAUUUAUGCUUGGACCUUGAUUAUUUUAUUCAUCUGCCAUUUGCAAUCUGUUGUACAGGAUUCAGAGUGAAACUUUCCUCUUAUUGAUGCCUCUGAAAUUGGCGUAAGUCUCUCUGGGCUUUCUAGAUUCCAGAUCUUGAAGAUAUUAGUGGAUAAUCUGGGAAAACACUUCAAUUAAUUAAGUAGAUAUGUAUUAUGGUCUUUGAUUUAUAAGUUAUUUAUAAAUAACAGACACAAGUAAAGACAGAUUUGUUCAGUUGGCUGAAGAAGUGGAAAGGGGAUGUGACUAAGAUGAAUAGAGUCAUGAGUGGACAAAAGAUGAGUAGAAUGAGAUAAAUUUAUAUUUAAAAAUACUCUGCUGAAGUUUUUCAGUCAAUCCAAGGGAAGCAAUAAUUUAUGCAAUAAUAGCUGAUCUCACUAAGUGCAAGAAGAAAUGUAGGUUAAAAAUAUAGAUUCACAAGUUUGCUAAGUUUCUGGAGUCCUAAGCCAUACUGAGUUGGUGGGGUAAGAUACUUUAAAUUAGAGUAAUGGAAUUUAAAAGGAAUGAUCUAUAACUUGGAUAUUGACAAUGGUGUAUUGGGAUGUCUAAUAACA
Molecule: long non-coding RNA, 1029 nt
Filed under: Callithrix jacchus (white-tufted-ear marmoset)
Lineage: Eukaryota; Metazoa; Chordata; Mammalia; Primates; Cebidae
Description: lncRNA (ENSCJAG00000087021.1)
Source: RNAcentral